Molecule: ribosomal RNA, 1506 nt
Filed under: Shigella sp.
Lineage: Bacteria; Pseudomonadati; Pseudomonadota; Gammaproteobacteria; Enterobacterales; Enterobacteriaceae
Also listed under: 1 other name
Description: bacterial SSU rRNA
Rfam family: Bacterial small subunit ribosomal RNA
Source: RNAcentral
AGAGUUUGAUCCUGGCUCAGAUUGAACGCUGGCGGCAGGCCUAACACAUGCAAGUCGAACGGUAACAGGAAACAGCUUGCUGUUUCGCUGACGAGUGGCGGACGGGUGAGUAAUGUCUGGGAAACUGCCUGAUGGAGGGGGAUAACUACUGGAAACGGUAGCUAAUACCGCAUAACGUCGCAAGACCAAAGAGGGGGACCUUCGGGCCUCUUGCCAUCGGAUGUGCCCAGAUGGGAUUAGCUUGUUGGUGGGGUAACGGCUCACCAAGGCGACGAUCCCUAGCUGGUCUGAGAGGAUGACCAGCCACACUGGAACUGAGACACGGUCCAGACUCCUACGGGAGGCAGCAGUGGGGAAUAUUGCACAAUGGGCGCAAGCCUGAUGCAGCCAUGCCGCGUGUAUGAAGAAGGCCUUCGGGUUGUAAAGUACUUUCAGCGGGGAGGAAGGGAGUAAAGUUAAUACCUUUGCUCAUUGACGUUACCCGCAGAAGAAGCACCGGCUAACUCCGUGCCAGCAGCCGCGGUAAUACGGAGGGUGCAAGCGUUAAUCGGAAUUACUGGGCGUAAAGCGCACGCAGGCGGUUUGUUAAGUCAGAUGUGAAAUCCCCGGGCUCAACCUGGGAACUGCAUCUGAUACUGGCAAGCUUGAGUCUCGUAGAGGGGGGUAGAAUUCCAGGUGUAGCGGUGAAAUGCGUAGAGAUCUGGAGGAAUACCGGUGGCGAAGGCGGCCCCCUGGACGAAGACUGACGCUCAGGUGCGAAAGCGUGGGGAGCAAACAGGAUUAGAUACCCUGGUAGUCCACGCCGUAAACGAUGUCGACUUGGAGGUUGUGCCCUUGAGGCGUGGCUUCCGGAGCUAACGCGUUAAGUCGACCGCCUGGGGAGUACGGCCGCAAGGUUAAAACUCAAAUGAAUUGACGGGGGCCCGCACAAGCGGUGGAGCAUGUGGUUUAAUUCGAUGCAACGCGAAGAACCUUACCUGGUCUUGACAUCCACGGAAGUUUUCAGAGAUGAGAAUGUGCCUUCGGGAACCGUGAGACAGGUGCUGCAUGGCUGUCGUCAGCUCGUGUUGUGAAAUGUUGGGUUAAGUCCCGCAACGAGCGCAACCCUUAUCCUUUGUUGCCAGCGGUCCGGCCGGGAACUCAAAGGAGACUGCCAGUGAUAAACUGGAGGAAGGUGGGGAUGACGUCAAGUCAUCAUGGCCCUUACGACCAGGGCUACACACGUGCUACAAUGGCGCAUACAAAGAGAAGCGACCUCGCGAGAGCAAGCGGACCUCAUAAAGUGCGUCGUAGUCCGGAUUGGAGUCUGCAACUCGACUCCAUGAAGUCGGAAUCGCUAGUAAUCGUGGAUCAGAAUGCCACGGUGAAUACGUUCCCGGGCCUUGUACACACCGCCCGUCACACCAUGGGAGUGGGUUGCAAAAGAAGUAGGUAGCUUAACCUUCGGGAGGGCGCUUACCACUUUGUGAUUCAUGACUGGGGUGAAGUCGUAACAAGGUAACCGUA